RNAcentral lists this unclassified non-coding RNA (334 nucleotides) under soil metagenome. RNAcentral describes it as "partial contains 5.8S ribosomal RNA, internal transcribed spacer 2, and large subunit ribosomal RNA". The stretch from base 1 to 120 matches the Rfam family "5.8S ribosomal RNA", at positions 35 to 154 of the family's 154-position model. The record is from RNAcentral.
GAUGAAGAACGUAGCGAAAUGCGAUAAGUAAUGUGAAUUGCAGAAUUCAGUGAAUCAUCGAAUCUUUGAACGCACAUUGCGCCCAUUAGUAUUCUAGUGGGCAUGCCUGUUCGAGCGUCAUUUCAACCCUUAAGCCUAGCUUAGUAUUGGGAAUCGACUUUACUGUCGUUCCUCAAAUUCAACGGCGGAUUUAUAGCAAUCUCUGAACGUAGUAAUUUUUUUCCUCGUUUUUGAAAUACUAUAAACCUCAGCCGCUAAACCCCAAUUUUUUUAUGGUUGACCUCGGAUCAGGUAGGAAUACCCGCUGAACUUAAGCAUAUCAAUAAGCGGAGGA